Molecule: ribosomal RNA, 485 nt
Filed under: uncultured bacterium
Lineage: Bacteria
Description: partial 16S ribosomal RNA
Rfam family: Bacterial small subunit ribosomal RNA
Source: RNAcentral
AGUGAACGCUGGCGGCGUGCUUAACACAUGCAAGUCGAACGAGAACGGAAUAUAGCUUGCUAUAUUUGUCAGCUAAGUGGCGCACGGGUGAGUAAUGUAUAGAUAACCUGCCCUUAAGAAAGGAAUAACAGUUGGAAACGACUGCUAAUGCCCUAUAUGCCUUUAAUACAUAAGUAUGCAAGGGAAACGCUUUAGUGCUUAAGGAUGGGUCUGUAUGGUAUCAGCUUGUUGGUGAGGUAAUGGCUCACCAAGGCUAUGACGCCUAACUGGUUUGAGAGGAAGAUCAGUAACACUGGAACUGAGACACGGUCCAAACUCCUACGGGAGGCAGCAGUGGGGAAUAUUGCACAAUGGACGAAAGUCUGAUGCAGCAACGCCGCGUGGAGGAUGACACAUUUCGGUGCGUAAACUCCUUUUAUAUAGGAAGAUAAUGACGGUACUAUAUGAAUAAGCACCGGCUAACUCCGUGCCAGCAGCCGCCGUAA